ACUCAUGGCGCAACGGUAGCGCGUUCGACUCCAGAUCGAAAGGUUGUCUGUUCAAAUCGUAGGUGAAAUA
This is a non-coding RNA of Lepraria neglecta, 70 nucleotides long. The record is from the annotation of a GenBank genome assembly. Lineage: Eukaryota; Fungi; Ascomycota; Lecanoromycetes; Lecanorales; Stereocaulaceae.